CGGCUCCUAGCUCAAUCAGGUUAGAGCAUCGCUCUCAUAAAGCGCAGGUUCUGGGUUCAAAUCCCAGGGAGCCGACCA
This 78-nucleotide transfer RNA is filed under the name Candidatus Pacearchaeota archaeon. Its description in RNAcentral is "tRNA-Met". It matches the Rfam family "tRNA". From Rfam's summary of the family: Transfer RNA (tRNA) molecules are approximately 80 nucleotides in length. Lineage: Archaea; Nanobdellati. The record is from RNAcentral.